This 515-nucleotide ribosomal RNA is filed under the name uncultured bacterium. RNAcentral's name for it is "partial 16S ribosomal RNA". It matches the Rfam family "Bacterial small subunit ribosomal RNA", at positions 28 to 523 of the family's 1533-position model. The record is from RNAcentral.
GAUGAACGCUGGCGGCGUGCCUAAUACAUGCAAGUCGAGCGAAUGGAUUAAGAGCUUGCUCUUAUGAAGUUAGCGGCGGACGGGUGAGUAACACGUGGGUAACCUGCCCAUAAGACUGGGAUAACUCCGGGAAACCGGGGCUAAUACCGGAUAACAUUUUGAACCGCAUGGUUCGAAAUUGAAAGGCGGCUUCGGCUGUCACUUAUGGAUGGACCCGCGUCGCAUUAGCUAGUUGGUGAGGUAACGGCUCACCAAGGCAACGAUGCGUAGCCGACCUGAGAGGGUGAUCGGCAAGACUGGGCAGGAGAACCGGCCCAGACUCCUACGGGAGGCAGCAGUAGGGAAUCUUCCGCAAUGGACGAAAGUCUGACGGAGCAAGGCCGCGUGAGUGAUGAAGGCUUUCGGGUCGUAAAACUCUGUUGUUAGGGAAGAACAAGUGCUAGUGGAAUAAGCUGGCACCUUGACGGUACCUAACCAGAAAGCCACGGCUAACUACGUGCCAGCAGCCGCCGUAA